GAAGCUGUGGCUGCCCCAUCCCUGGAAGUGUCCAAGGCCAGGUUGGACGGGGCUUGGAGCAACCUGGUCUAGUGGAAGGUGUCCCUGCCCAAGGAAGGGUGUGGAACUGAAUGGUCUUCAAAGUCCCUUCCAACCUAAACCAUCCUGUGCCCCUGUGAUUCCAUAA
Molecule: long non-coding RNA, 166 nt
Organism: Lepidothrix coronata (blue-crowned manakin)
Lineage: Eukaryota; Metazoa; Chordata; Aves; Passeriformes; Pipridae
Exons: 3
Source: RefSeq, a predicted model, not a curated record